Molecule: long non-coding RNA, 291 nt
Filed under: Ananas comosus (pineapple)
Lineage: Eukaryota; Viridiplantae; Streptophyta; Magnoliopsida; Poales; Bromeliaceae
Description: long non-coding RNA (ACOM_LNC009262)
Source: RNAcentral
AACUGGGCACGCUCCCGCAACGACGGUCGACCUCGGCGACGAUACAUAGCUGUAGCUGUAAAGAACGGAACAGGAUCAGAUAAAAUACAAUCACUCCCAACCCAAUCAAACGAAAGUCCAGAAGGCGGCCCCUGUUUCUCCUCAAAAUUAUAUCGUCUGCAGCCAACAUAAUUUUACAGGCCAAAACAGGAACUCCUCCAAUCACUCACUCCACUCUAGGAGAAAUUAAAACAAUUAAUCAGUGACUUUCGCGAUAAAUCACGCCUCUCGCGUCUUACCUUCCUAAAGUUU